Molecule: non-coding RNA, 297 nt
Organism: Pelobates cultripes (western spadefoot toad)
Lineage: Eukaryota; Metazoa; Chordata; Amphibia; Anura; Pelobatidae
Source: the annotation of a GenBank genome assembly
GUCAGAGUACAGGAACAGAGUCAGUCUAUGCAGCAUUCCUUUAACAUCACAUGUUGGUUAAAUAAAUGGUCACCAUCUUACUUUCAGGGGUUAGUGAUGGAUCCAGUGCCUUAAAACGGCUGCUUUCUCUGUUCGCUGCAGUAUGAGGAAGGUUUAACAUGGAAGCCAGUGAUAGACUGAAAGUGUCAAUUUGCACUUUUAGCCAAUCACUGGCUGCCCAUGGGGAAAAUAGCACAUCAGCUUGUAAUAGCACAAGCUGACACCCUCAGUCUAUCACCUGCUUUGCUGAGACUUUUC